RNAcentral lists this ribosomal RNA (439 nucleotides) under Clostridioides difficile. RNAcentral's name for it is "bacterial LSU rRNA". It matches the Rfam family "Bacterial large subunit ribosomal RNA", at positions 1490 to 1940 of the family's 2925-position model. The record is from RNAcentral. Lineage: Bacteria; Bacillati; Bacillota; Clostridia; Peptostreptococcales; Peptostreptococcaceae.
GCACACUGUUGGUUAUGUGUGCCCAAGCAUUGAGGCAGACAAAGGAGGCAAAUCCGCUUUGAUAAUGCUGGGAUGUGAUGGGGAGCGAACUUUAGUAGCGAAGUAGCUGAUUGCACACUGUCAAGAAAAGUCUCCAACCAGGUUAAAGAUUACCGUACCGCAAACCGCCCCAGGUGGGGGAGGAGAGUAUCCUAAGGCCAGCGAGAGAACUGUUGUUAAGGCACUCGGCAAAAUGACCCCGUAACUUCGGGAUAAGGGGUGCCACCAUCAGGUGGCCGCAGCGAAUAGGCCCAAGCGACUAUUUACCCAACACAUCGGUUACUGCCAAGUCGCCAGCCUACGGCUAGGAGUUGACGCUUGCCCGGUGCUGGCAGGACUAGGGCAGCUGUGGGCGCACUCUCAGUAGGGUAGUGCCACCGCAGUACUCGGUGGCCGUCAC